CAGUCGAGCGAACGGAUAAGGAGCUUGCUCCUUUGAAGUUAGCGGCGGACGGGUGAGUAACACGUGGGUAACCUACCUAUAAGACUGGAAUAACUUCGGGAAACCGGAGCUAAUGCCGGAUAACAUAUAGAACCGCAUGGUUCUAUAGUGAAAGAUGGUUUUGCUAUCACUUAUAGAUGGACCCGCGCCGUAUUAGCUAGUUGGUAAGGUAAUGGCUUACCAAGGCGACGAUACGUAGCCGACCUGAGAGGGUGAUCGGCCACACUGGAACUGAGACACGGUCCAGACUCCUACGGGAGGCAGCAGUAGGGAAUCUUCCGCAAUGGGCGAAAGCCUGACGGAGCAACGCCGCGUGAGUGAUGAAGGUUUUCGGAUCGUAAAACUCUGUUAUUAGGGAAGAACAAAUGCGUAAGUAACUGUGCGCAUCUUGACGGUACCUAAUCAGAAAGCCACGGCUAACUACGUGCCAGCAGCCGCGGUAAUACGUAGGUGGCAAGCGUUAUCCGGAAUUAUUGGGCGUAAAGCGCGCGUAGGCGGUUUCUUAAGUCUGAUGUGAAAGCCCACGGCUCAACCGUGGAGGGUCAUUGGAAACUGGGAAACUUGAGUGCAGAAGAGGAAAGUGGAAUUCCAUGUGUAGCGGUGAAAUGCGCAGAGAUAUGGAGGAACACCAGUGGCGAAAGCGACUUUCUGGUCUGUAACUGACGCUGAUGUGCGAAAGCGUGGGGAUCAACAGGAUUAGAUACCCUGGGUAGUCCACGCCGUAAACGAUGA
This 771-nucleotide ribosomal RNA is filed under the name Staphylococcus succinus. RNAcentral's name for it is "bacterial SSU rRNA". It matches the Rfam family "Bacterial small subunit ribosomal RNA", at positions 59 to 812 of the family's 1533-position model. The record is from RNAcentral. Lineage: Bacteria; Bacillati; Bacillota; Bacilli; Caryophanales; Staphylococcaceae.